GGCGAGCUCUACGCGGCGGGAGCGCGGCGGGGUAGGCGAGAAGCAGCGGUGGGCGACGCUUGCUGCAGCCGGAAACGGGAGAGGAGAGGCGAGCAGCAGCGGGGAGCGGCGUGCGCGGCAGCCGGCAACAGGAGAGGGGAGCAGCCGGCCAGGAAUUUGGGACCCGGCUUUGACCGGAUGAUUUUUUUUUAAUUUUUUUUUCGAUUUUCUUUGCCGGAGGUUGGCCUGCGGCAAAGUCUCCUAGCACAUGCCCUUCCGUCUACCUCCGUCCGUGAUGUGUCUGUUACUUUUCUUUGCCGGCGGCCUCUUUUUUGGCCUCCGGCAAAGCCUUUGCCAAAGGGCCCGAGAUAAGGGCGUCGGCAAAGAGGCCUUUACUGAUAGUGGUCCAUGCCAACGGCCUUAGCCGGCAGUCACGUGGAAAAGCCUCCGGCAAAGGCUUUGCCGGAGGCCUUAGGCCGCCGGCAAAAAUGUUUUUCCCGUAGUGUACCAUUUGCUCUAUUGAUAAAUCCAUUUUCUUUUCGAUGUUUUUAGGGGAAAUUAAGUGUCUAGUUCGGAAAGAAAUUAAGUUCUAUACUUGCUUGUUAACUUGUUGCCAGCCUUGCUCCAUUUCCUUCAACAACAAAAAAUUCGAGCUCCAGUUCACAGGCCGAAUAUCAGUGUUGGGCUUUUACCACCGGUGGCCCAUCUAAACGUCAGCAUAACCUCGGCCGGUCCUCCUCCUCCUCUCUCCCAUUUCCCGUUUCCUCUUCCUUUCUCCGCCGUUUCCCCACGAAGGAGGUGGUAUGCUGCCGUGUUGCACCAAUGGCUGCGGCGCAAAGGGCGCAUCUAGAUUUAGAGCAGGCAAACUCCCCGAGACCUCAACCUCAGGCAAUGGUCGCGC
This 880-nucleotide long non-coding RNA is filed under the name Brachypodium distachyon (stiff brome). RNAcentral's name for it is "long non-coding RNA (BDIS_LNC000933)". Lineage: Eukaryota; Viridiplantae; Streptophyta; Magnoliopsida; Poales; Poaceae. The record is from RNAcentral.